UACGUAGGGGGCGAGCGUUGUCCGGAUUUAUUGGGCGUAAAGAGCUCGUAGGCGGUUCGGCGAGUCGACUGUGAAAUCUCCACGCUCAACGUGGAGGGGUCAGUCGAUACUGCCGUGACUCGAGUCCGGUAGGGGAGUGUGGAAUUCCCGGUGUAGCGGUGAAAUGCGCAGAGAUCGGGAGGAACACCCGUAGCGAAGGCGGCACUCUGGGCCGGUACUGACGCUGAGGAGCGAAAGCGUGGGGAGCAAACAGG
This 254-nucleotide ribosomal RNA is filed under the name uncultured bacterium. Its description in RNAcentral is "partial 16S ribosomal RNA". It matches the Rfam family "Bacterial small subunit ribosomal RNA", at positions 524 to 776 of the family's 1533-position model. The record is from RNAcentral.